Molecule: long non-coding RNA, 246 nt
Filed under: Nicotiana benthamiana
Lineage: Eukaryota; Viridiplantae; Streptophyta; Magnoliopsida; Solanales; Solanaceae
Description: long non-coding RNA (NBEN_LNC004743)
Source: RNAcentral
UAGAUGAUUUCUAUAAUUGCGAUCCACCCUAUGGUCCAUUCAACUUGAUCUGCUCUCAAUCUUUUCAAAUAGGAAACCCAUGCUUCAAACCCCUCGGGUGGUUUGUAACCUUCCACCCUUUUCUCGUACUUACAGAUGAAAUUGUUCCCGUCUGAAGCAUAUCUCAUGAAAUUAAGAUGGUGGCAAAGGUGUUCGAUCAUCCACAUCUGAAGGAGAAUGCUGCAGCCUUCGAAAAACUCACCCCCA